GGCCCUGGGAUCGUGACUUGAGCCAAAGGCAGCUGCUUAACCGACAGAGCCACCCAGGCACCCCAGCACAAGUGUUUUCUAAAGGGUGGUGAAAGGGCUUCCUUAGAGUGUGAGCUCACAGAUUCCUAACUGGCCUGAGUCCAAGGUUCCAGUGCCAUGGGAGGACAGGGCUUUCUCCAAAGCAAGGUGAGGGCUGAUGCUUCUGUCCAGGGUCAGCAUGGGUUUCCUGUUGCUAAUUAGACAAAGGGUUCCCUUAGAGAGUCAGGCUAGGGCAGCUGUUCUGGGAGGUAAGAGCUGGGGCUCCUGAGCAAGGGAGGGCCAGGCACAUGUCCAGCACAGUUUCUGAGAGGGGUUUCUGUUCCAGAUGCAGACAGGGGCUCUUACAGGUUAAGAGGGCUGGGGUUCUGUGGGAUGGCCAGGGAGGCAGGAGGCUUUUACAAAGACCAGGGAGGUUCUGGACAAUCCCUGUAAUGAACAUGGACUGCCAUGAUUCUGCAGAGGGCCCGCGUGGCCAGUAGCUGAAGGAGAGCUGUCCUGAGAACAUCUGCUUACCCCUACUAUGUUCAGGACCUGCGGGCCCACGGUCUUUGCUCUGGGGCUCUGGGGGAAAGCCAUAAAGAGAAGCAACCCAAAAGCAAAUUCAGAUGUGAGUGGAUUGAGUGAUGAGAGCAAGAGCAAGGGAGGGGGGUAGAGAGAGAGGCAGCCCAGUUAAGUAUGAGCAAGACUCAUAUGGGGGGGAAGUGGUAUCCAAAAUCCACUCCUUAAACUCUGUGUGGCCAGGGCAAGUAACACCAGUUAUGAGCCUUACUUUUUCAUUAGCAAAACAAAAAUGUAAAGUGUGUAAUAUACUUUCCUUUCCUUGGAGUAAUUCUUUUUCCAGGUGUUUAUGAACUAAAGCAACUGAAGCUUCCCAGCUAUGCCCGACCCACAGUAAAUGCUCAGCAAAUGGGGCUCCUUGCUAUCAGGAGCUGCGGGGUGGUAUGGAGACUAAACCACAGAACCUGGCUUGGCCCCCUGUCUCAGCUAUGUGGCCUCCAGUGAGCUACUUAACCUCUCUGGCUCGGGGUGUCACCUGACUCCACACAGGCUCCUAUGUAAGGGUUUUCCAUUUUGGAAUUUCUUUUUUCUUAAGUAGGCCCAAAAUGGGGCUUGAACUCAUGACCCUGAGAUCAAGACCUCAUCUGAAGAGUCUGAGGCUUAACUGCCUGAGCCACACUGGUGCCCCAGGGUUUUCCAUUGCGGAAGAACAGAUUCUACUCAGGGUGGGGAACAGCUGGCCCAGAGCUGCAGGCCGAGCUGGGCCCAAAGAGAUAAGCGAUGACUGACAGGGAAGGUCCCCCGGAUAGCCUCAUGGUCGCACACUGGCCUUCUGACCUUCUGGACAGCUCCCAUUCCAGUCCCCUCUUCCCCCCCGCCCCCCUUUCCUCUCCAGCACAUGUCUUGUGUCCUCUGGAAAGGGGUCCCUGAUGUAGACCCAGCUGAAACUCUGCAUGUUGAUACUUUCCACGAACGAGUACACACAGAACUGCUUACACCUGACAGCCACUCAAGAGACACUGUGGCCUGGCACACACCACGGGAUCUGCACUCCCACAUGUGUAGACUUGCAGAGAAAUGCUGCCGUUACCCGAGCCCCAGGGCUCACUGGAUGUGCAGACCCCCAUGGUGCUGCUCUUAGACUUCACAUGCCCCCACACACAGCCCGCGUUCAACGUUCCAGAAGCAUCUGUCCGUCCAGAUGCCUUGCGGUUUCGAGUCUGGAUACCAUCCUUCCGCAUGGUCAGUGGUCGGUUCACCUGCCAAAAGGGAGGUCCACGGUGUUUCCCAACUCCACAUCUUUGCCUCUGUGUCUUGACCAGGGAGGCCAUCUCCAUCCCACCUCGUUAAGCAUAGGGAAUUAUUUCAGGGACUAGGGGAGCAUGACCCUGCUAUGGUGCAGGGAUUGACCUAAGGAAUCCCAAGGAGGAAGGAGGAGGGUCAGGAGGUCAUGGAAGGGUGUGAAGAGAUGAAGGAAUGGGAGGAGGGAGGAUGAGGACCAAGGUGGAGGGGAAUAGAGAAGGAAGGAGGAAGCAGAAAAGGUGGGGAGAGGGGAGGGUUAUGAGGGCAAGUAGACAUGGGGAUGCAACAGGAGCAGGGGAGGAGGGAGGCUGGGGAUGAGGCAAGACAAACCUGGU
Molecule: long non-coding RNA, 2174 nt
Organism: Mustela erminea (ermine)
Lineage: Eukaryota; Metazoa; Chordata; Mammalia; Carnivora; Mustelidae
Exons: 3
Source: RefSeq, a predicted model, not a curated record